AGUGAACGCUGGCGGUAGGCCUAACACAUGCAAGUCGAACGGCAGCACAGUAAGAGCUUGCUCUUACUGGUGGCGAGUGGCGGACGGGUGAGGAAUACAUCGGAAUCUACUUUUUCGUGGGGGAUAACGUGGGGAAACUUACGCUAAUACCGCAUACGACCUACGGGUGAAAGCAGGGGAUCUUCGGACCUUGCGCGAUUGAAUGAGCCGAUGUCGGAUUAGCUAGUUGGCGGGGUAAAGGCCCACCAAGGCGACGAUCCGUAGCUGGUCUGAGAGGAUGAUCAGCCACACUGGAACUGAGACACGGUCCAGACUCCUACGGGAGGCAGCAGUGGGGAAUAUUGGACAAUGGGCGCAAGCCUGAUCCAGCCAUACCGCGUGGGUGAAGAAGGCCUUCGGGUUGUAAAGCCCUUUUGUUGGGAAAGAAAAGCAGCAGGUUAAUACCCCGCUGUUCUGACGGUACCCAAAGAAUAAGCACCGGCUAACUUCGUG
This 492-nucleotide ribosomal RNA is filed under the name uncultured bacterium. RNAcentral's name for it is "partial 16S ribosomal RNA". It matches the Rfam family "Bacterial small subunit ribosomal RNA", at positions 29 to 507 of the family's 1533-position model. The record is from RNAcentral.